Molecule: long non-coding RNA, 669 nt
Organism: Lycium barbarum (goji berry)
Lineage: Eukaryota; Viridiplantae; Streptophyta; Magnoliopsida; Solanales; Solanaceae
Exons: 2
Source: RefSeq, a predicted model, not a curated record
UUGGAAGUCUUUUUCGAUGACCACGAAAUCUGUUACAACUUCAAAACUCGGGGAUAAAUGGGCCCACCUCUCUACUUAUCUCCACUUAAAUACUUACAAUAGCCAAGUUUCAAACUCACGAUGCUCAUCUAUCACAAAUCCCCUGCUAUACUACAUUUCCCGUUAAACAAAACCCUUGGGGGCAGAAGGUACUUGAAAGUCUUAAAUUUACUCUAGCCGCCAUGGCUCAUAUCUAUCAUACACGAAGAACAUUUUAGGAGGCCAUGACGAUGGUGAUUGAAGAACAUCCUUCAUCUAUCCCACAUAAACAAUAUGAACACAAACAUCAAUCCUUCAUCUACAACAACAACUAACAUACCCAGUAUAAUCCCACAAGUGGGGAAGAUACAAAGCAACCGUGCAAGAGAUAGUGAUACACAUCGAAGAAUAGACAACUACGCGAUUCCUAAAUAAUACUACUACUAAGAAAUACGUAUAGAGAGGCUAGCCCUACCUCUCCCACCUACAGUGUUACACCACUCGACUACCUACUACCCUUCUACCCUAACCUUCGACCUCCACACUUUCCUAUCUAGGGUCAUGUCCUCAGUAAGCUGAAAUUGUGCUAUGUCCUAUCCAAUCACUUCCCCCCAGUUCUUCUUCGGCCUAUCUCUACCUCUCCUAACUCCU